Molecule: ribosomal RNA, 580 nt
Filed under: uncultured bacterium
Lineage: Bacteria
Description: bacterial SSU rRNA
Rfam family: Bacterial small subunit ribosomal RNA
Source: RNAcentral
AGAGUUUGAUUAUGGCUCAGGAUGAACGCUAGCGACAGGCUUAACACAUGCAAGUCGAGGGGCAGCGGAGGCAGUAGCAAUACUGCCUGCCGGCGACCGGCGCACGGGUGAGUAACACGUAUGCAACCUACCCUUGUCAGGGGGAUAAGCCGGAGAAAUCCGGUCUAAUACCGCGUGACAUCGGGAUUCCGCAUGGGAUUCCGAUCAAAGGAGCAAUCCGGACAAGGAUGGGCAUGCGGCGCAUUAGCUAGUUGGCGGGGUAACGGCCCACCAAGGCGACGAUGCGUAGGGGUUCUGAGAGGAAGGCCCCCCACACUGGUACUGAGACACGGACCAGACUCCUACGGGAGGCAGCAGUGAGGAAUAUUGGUCAAUGGGCGCGAGCCUGAACCAGCCAAGUCGCGUGAGGGAAUAAGGUCCUAUGGAUUGUAAACCUCUUUUGUCGGGGAGCAAUGAGCGUCACGCGUGAUGCGUUGAGAGUACCCGAAGAAAAAGCAUCGGCUAACUCCGUGCCAGCAGCCGCGGUAAUACGGAGGAUGCGAGCGUUAUCCGGAUUUAUUGGGUUUAAAGGGUGCGUACG